GAUUGAACGCUGGCGGAAUGCUUUACACAUGCAAGUCGAACGGCAGCACGGGAGCUUGCUCCUGGCGGCGAGUGGCGAACGGGUGAGUAAUGCGUCGGAACGUACCGAGUAAUGGGGGAUAACGCAGCGAAAGUUGUGCUAAUACCGCAUACGCCCUCCGGGGGAAAGCAGGGGAUCUUCGGACCUUGCGUUAUUCGAGCGGCCGACGUCUGAUUAGCUAGUUGGUGGGGUAAAGGCCUACCAAGGCGACGAUCAGUAGCGGGUCUGAGAGGAUGAUCCGCCACACUGGAACUGAGACACGGUCCAGACUCCUACGGGAGGCAGCAGUGGGGAAUUUUGGACAAUGGGGGCAACCCUGAUCCAGCCAUUCCGCGUGAGUGAAGAAGGCCUUCGGGUUGUAAAGCUCUUUCAGCAGGAACGAAACGGUACGCUCUAACAUAGCGUGCUAAUGACGGUACCUGCAGAAGAAGCACCGGCUAACUACGUGCCAGCAGCCGCGGUAAUACGUAGGGUGCGAGCGUUAAUCGGAAUUACUGGGCGUAAAGCGUGCGCAGGCGGACUGUUAAGCAUGAUGUGAAAUCCCCGGGCUUAACCUGGGAAUGGCAUUUUGAACUGGCAGUCUAGAGUGUGUCNGAGGGGGUAGAAUUCCACGUGUAGCAGUGAAAUGCGUAGAGAUGUGGAGGAAUACCGAUGGCGAAGGCAGCCCCCUGGGAUAACACUGACGCUCAUGUACGAAAGCGUGGGUAGCAAACAGGAUUAGAUACCCUGGUAGUCCACGCCCUAAACGAUGUCAACUGGUUGUUGGGGGAGUGAAAUCCCUUAGUAACGAAGCUAACGCGUGAAGUUGACCGCCUGGGGAGUACGGUCGCAAGAUUAAAACUCAAAGGAAUUGACGGGGACCCGCACAAGCGGUGGAUGAUGUGGAUUAAUUCGAUGCAACGCGAAAAACCUUACCUACCCUUGACAUGUCCAGAAUCCUGCAGAGAUGCGGGAGUGCCCGAAAGGGAAUUGGAACACAGGUGCUGCAUGGCUGUCGUCAGCUCGUGUCGUGAGAUGUUGGGUUAAGUCCCGCAACGAGCGCAACCCUUAUCAUUAGUUGCUACGCAAGGGCACUCUAAUGAGACUGCCGGUGACAAACCGGAGGAAGGUGGGGAUGACGUCAAGUCCUCAUGGCCCUUAUGGGUAGGGCUUCACACGUCAUACAAUGGUCGGUACAGAGGGUUGCCAAGCCGCGAGGUGGAGCCAAUCCCAGAAAGCCGAUCGUAGUCCGGAUUGUUCUCUGCAACUCGAGAGCAUGAAGUCGGAAUCGCUAGUAAUCGCGGAUCAGCAUGUCGCGGUGAAUACGUUCCCGGGUC
Molecule: ribosomal RNA, 1355 nt
Filed under: uncultured soil bacterium
Lineage: Bacteria
Description: bacterial SSU rRNA
Rfam family: Bacterial small subunit ribosomal RNA
Source: RNAcentral